GACGAACGCUGGCGGCGUGCUUAACACAUGCAAGUCGAAGCGGUAAGGCCCUUUACGGGGGCUACGACGAGCGGCGAACGGGUGAGUAACACGUGGGUGACCUGCCCUCAGCUCUGGGAUAAGCCCGGGAAACUGGGGUACUAAUACCGGAUAUGACUCCAUGACGCAUGUUGUGGGGUGGAAAGCCUUGUGCGGCUGAGGAUGGGCCCGCGGCCUAUCAGCUUGUUGGUGGGGUGAGGCCUACCAAGGCGACGACGGGUAGCCGGCCUGAGAGGGCGACCGGCCACACUGGGACUGAGACACGGCCCAGACUCCUACGGGGAGGCAGCAGUGGGGAAUCUUGCGCAAUGGGCGAAAAGCCUGACGCAGCGACGCCGCGUGAGGGAUGACGGCCUGUGUAAC
Molecule: ribosomal RNA, 402 nt
Filed under: uncultured bacterium
Lineage: Bacteria
Description: bacterial SSU rRNA
Rfam family: Bacterial small subunit ribosomal RNA
Source: RNAcentral